Molecule: long non-coding RNA, 347 nt
Filed under: Durio zibethinus
Lineage: Eukaryota; Viridiplantae; Streptophyta; Magnoliopsida; Malvales; Malvaceae
Description: long non-coding RNA (DZIB_LNC000366)
Source: RNAcentral
UUGAAACGAAGAAAUUAAAUGUAAAAAAAAAAAUACGUAAAUAAAAAAAAAUUGUCGAACAGAGGGAAGGAGAUUUUAGAGAGAUCAAUUGGUGAGUUCUGAGAGGUUGUUGGACAAAGAGAGAGAAAGGGAGGGAAAUUUUGCUAUAUAAAAUAUUUAUUUAUAGUACGACAUGACAUGACGAAUCGUUGUCCGCGUAGUAAAAUUUUCUUCUGCAACUCUUAUUAUUUUAUUAUUAUUAUUCUGUCCUUUUUUCGUUUAGCUUGCAUAUUUAAUAUAUAUUUACUCAAUUUAAUUAUAAAAUAUAUUUUAAAUAUUAAUAUUAGAUCAAUUAAAUACUAAUAUUU